GGAUAUGAGGGUGAUCUGGCUGUAACAUCUGUCAUGCCGUCAAUCACCAGGGUUGAUUAGGCUGAUCUGGCUAGCUAGGUGGGUGUCUCCGUCCUCGCUCACCACUCUGUGUGCAUCCCUCUCGAAGAUGUGCACUCAGUCCAAGAUGAUGACUAUCCCUGAUAGAGGAGGACCAUUUCCUCGGUCAAGAGUAUAUAAAUAGCUGUGCUGCCCUGCUAGACCUCCAAUCAAGCUCUCAUGUUUUGCUUAUGCUUGCAAAUCAAACAAGGUUUAGGUCACUUAAGAAGUCUAGCUGUUUUU
Molecule: unclassified non-coding RNA, 300 nt
Organism: Fukomys damarensis (Damara mole-rat)
Lineage: Eukaryota; Metazoa; Chordata; Mammalia; Rodentia; Bathyergidae
Gene: 7SK
Rfam family: 7SK RNA
About the family: 7SK was discovered as an abundant small nuclear RNA in the mid-70s but a possible function has only recently been suggested. Two independent studies have found that 7SK RNA binds the CDK9/cyclin T complex (known as elongation factor P-TEFb).
Source: Ensembl